AUGAAGGAAAAUAUUCUUGAACUUUUGUGCAUCACUAGUCCUAAAGUGAGCGUCCUGCCGCCCUCCAGUGAAGAGAUUUCCACAAAGAACACAGCAACACUGAUGUGUGUGGCCAACAAGGGCUUCCCCUCAGACUGGAGCCUGAGCUGGAAGGUGGACGGGAGCAGCAGGUCUGAGAAGAGCAGUGCUGGGGUCCUGGAGAAGGGCGGUCUGUACAGCUGGAGCAGCAGUCUGACUCUCUCUCAGGACGAGUGGAUGAAGGCGGUCACAGUGAGCUGUGAGGCCAAACAGAAAGAGCAGCUGUCAGUCACUGGAGAAGUGAGGAGAGAUCAGUGUUCUGAGUAGAUCCUCUGGAUUCUCUUCUGCUCUUCUCACUCAUGUCUCACAUGGAGACUAACAGUGACUUCUAUUCACACAAGUAUAUGUGUGCUUUUGUCUUUCAGAUUUCUCUUGUCAAAAUUCAAUAAACUAAUAAAAUAUUAC
Non-coding RNA from Xyrauchen texanus (razorback sucker), 483 nucleotides. The record is from the annotation of a RefSeq genome assembly. NCBI's taxonomy places the organism in Eukaryota, Metazoa, Chordata, Actinopteri, Cypriniformes, Catostomidae.